This 1427-nucleotide unclassified non-coding RNA is filed under the name Leishmania donovani. RNAcentral's name for it is "gene:LdHU3.32.1120(CDS-product:hypothetical_prote in_conserved)". The record is from RNAcentral. Lineage: Eukaryota; Euglenozoa; Kinetoplastea; Trypanosomatida; Trypanosomatidae.
UGGCCGGCCCGCCGCAUCCUCACGGUGGCGCUCCCCGCUGGCUACCGGUGGGUGGGUUUCUGGGAGGUUCACACAGAGCAUCCACACGGCACUGACACGGCCGGCUGGCGCUACGGAGAGCAGUUCCUGCGACCUCUCGACGGGGCCAACGCUGACCCUGCCAAUGCUGCGUCGCCUCAGCAGGUUUUGGCUCCGUUCAAAAAGACACACACGCCCUUAUGCGUCGUCCGCCGUCGCCUAUGGCGCCGCCGUGUGGCACUGGCGGGGGUGGACGAGCCUGCCUCGUCUACGGACGACCUCUUCCCUGGCCACUCGGAGCAGCAACUGCAUUCCUACCUGAGCGAGAAAGAGGAAGAGAUGGAGAUGGCCGAGCACCUCAAGGAGGCGGAGUUCAUGGCAGCCCAGGCUGGCGAGCCGUGGUCGCAGGAGCAGCAGAUGCGGGCGGAGGAGGAGCUGCGCAAAUUCUGCCGCGAGCGGCAAAACCGCGAGAGUGCGUCCCGCAUGCGCACCAUAAACCCGAGCUUCGCGAACCCGUUUCGCCAGCCAGAGGGCUCUUUUCAUGUUUCUCCAGACGACGACAACGGCCCCACAGACGUCAACGCGCAUCCGGAGGAGCAGUUCAGCGGCGCCGUGGCGGCGGCGUCGUGGGUGCGGGACAGUCGGUCGAAUCGCGCGGCGCCUGCCGUCUCGUCCCCGGUGGCGACGCCUGAUGACACGACUGCCGAGCACAGCGCCGAAUCCUCGCAUGGCGGCUGCACCGUUGAGGCUUACAGCACCACGGCGCCGAGUCGCGUGGAUGGAAGCGAUCUAGUGGGGCAGAACACGGUUCAAGAGUUCGUCGCGUCCACUCCGACAGAUGCGGAGCGGUCGCGCACUGACGGUGCCGAUGCUGCCGCCGAAAACGCGGUGGAUCAGUUUGUGGCAUCCUCGCCGACCGACCCCGCUGCCUUGAGCAACGACGACCAAUCUACUGGUGUGUCGAUCGGUGGCAUCCGCGAUCCUACCGAUGCGGACUUCCGCGCGAUUUUUUCGCAGUUUAUGACUCCUUCUGGUGGUCAAAAGCCGUCGUGAUCGAGGCCUCAACGCUCAUCAGAAAAGGAAUUAGAGGGAGGGGAGACACAGACGUUCGCCGGCAGGGCAUCAAAACACACAAAGACACACGAGUGGCGCUUGGCCGUGUGCGGCCUUUGAUAACGAGAUGUGUCUGUGUCGUUGUGGUGCACACAGCUCUCAUCCUUUGCUCGUUGCUCUGCCUUCUCGCUGCUAUGCACCACCUCUCUUUGCAGCUGCUCUUGCUGCUCAUGUGCGUCUGUUCUGUUUUGUUGCUCCGUAUCAGUCGCCGUUUCCUUGCGAGACGUCCUGCCAACCUUUUUUUUUUGCCCACCCACUCCUCUUCCUUCCUUUCAUUCUUCUUUUGCUGCAUUCAG